RNAcentral lists this ribosomal RNA (910 nucleotides) under uncultured bacterium. RNAcentral's name for it is "bacterial SSU rRNA". It matches the Rfam family "Bacterial small subunit ribosomal RNA", at positions 33 to 934 of the family's 1533-position model. The record is from RNAcentral.
ACGCUGGCUACAGGCUUAACAUAUGCAAGUCGAGGGGAAACGACGGGGAAGCUUGCUUCCUUGGGCGUCGACCGGCGCACGGGUGAGUAACGCGUAUCCAACCUGCCUCUGACUGAGGGAUAACCCGUCGAAAGCCGGCCUAAUACCUCAUGGUAUCGUCUGCAGGCAUCCAAUGACGAUUAAAGAUUUCAUCGGUCAGGGAUGGGGAUGCGUCUGAUUAGCUUGUUGGCGGGGUAACGGCCCACCAAGGCGACGAUCAGUAGGGGUUCUGAGAGGAAGGUCCCCCACAUUGGAACUGAGACACGGUCCAAACUCCUACGGGAGGCAGCAGUGAGGAAUAUUGGUCAAUGGGCGAGAGCCUGAACCAGCCAAGUAGCGUGCAGGAUGACGGCCCUAUGGGUUGUAAACUGCUUUUAUGCGGGGAUAAAGUGAGGGACGUGUCCUUCAUUGCAGGUACCGCAUGAAUAAGGACCGGCUAAUUCCGUGCCAGCAGCCGCGGUAAUACGGAAGGUCCGGGCGUUAUCCGGAUUUAUUGGGUUUAAAGGGAGCGUAGGCCGUGGAUUAAGCGUGUUGUGAAAUGCAGGUGCUCAACGUCUGCACUGCAGCGCGAACUGGUCCACUAGAGUGUGCACAACGCAGGCGGAAUUCGUCGUGUAGCGGUGAAAUGCUUAGAUAUGACGAAGAACUCCGAUUGCGAAGGCAGCUUGCGGGAGCACAACUGACGCUGAAGCUCGAAAGUGCGGGUAUCGAACAGGAUUAGAUACCCUGGUAGUCCGCACGGUAAACGAUGGAUGCCCGUUGUCAGGCUGUUUCAGCCUGGUGACCAAGCGAAAGCAUUAAGCAUCCCACCUGGGGAGUACGCCGGCAACGGUGAAACUCAAGGAAUUGACGGGGGCCCGCACAAGCGGAG